ACGGGUGAGUAACGCGUGGGAAUCUACCCAUCUCUACGGAAUAACGCAUGGAAACGUGUGCUAAUACCGUAUACGCCCUUUUGGGGAAAGAUUUAUCGGAGAUGGAUGAGCCCGCGUUGGAUUAGCUAGUUGGUGGGGUAAAGGCCUACCAAGGCGACGAUCCAUAGCUGGUCAGAGAGGAUGAUCAGCCACAUUGGGACUGAGACACGGCCCAAACUCCUACGGGAGGCAGCAGUGGGGAAUAUUGGACAAUGGGCGCAAGCCUGAUCCAGCCAUGCCGCGUGAGUGAUGAAGGCCUUAGGGUUGUAAAGCUCUUUCACCGGUGAAGAUAAUGACGGUAACCGGAGAAGAAGCCCCGGCUAACUUCGUGCCAGCAGCCGCGGUAAUACGAAGGGGGCUAGCGUUGUUCGGAAUUACUGGGCGUAAAGCGCACGUAGGCGGACAUUUAAGUCAGGGGUGAAAUCCCGCAGCUCAACUGCGGAACUGCCUUUGAUACUGGGUGUCUAGAGUAUGGAAGAGGUAAGUGGAAUUGCGAGUGUAGAGGUGAAAUUCGUAGA
This 557-nucleotide ribosomal RNA is filed under the name uncultured Pseudomonadota bacterium. RNAcentral describes it as "bacterial SSU rRNA". It matches the Rfam family "Bacterial small subunit ribosomal RNA", at positions 102 to 694 of the family's 1533-position model. The record is from RNAcentral. Lineage: Bacteria; Pseudomonadati; Pseudomonadota.